RNAcentral lists this transfer RNA (95 nucleotides) under Emergomyces pasteurianus Ep9510. RNAcentral's name for it is "tRNA-Pro". Lineage: Eukaryota; Fungi; Ascomycota; Eurotiomycetes; Onygenales; Ajellomycetaceae. The record is from RNAcentral.
GGUCCUGUGGUCUAGUGGUAUGAUUCUCGCUUUGGGUUCCCUCAAAACCUAAAUUGGCCUGCGAGAGGCCCCGCGUUCGAAUCGCGGCAGGACCC